AGCCUCUCGGCGGCCAUGGCGGCGUACGGGCUGGUGGCUUCAUCCCUUCCGUGGUUGACCUGGGACACUGCAGUCGACCCUCCAUAGCUCUCGGCCUGCUGGCGGGAAGACUGCGUCUCGUACUGCUGAUCGUAAAAAAAAGCGUCGCGUUCUUUUCCCUCCGAGGGCUCAGUCGCCCUAAUAUGUGCAGCAGACUAACCUUGCGGGAGUUUGUCUGCUGGGAAUUAAGAAGCUGUGAGGACAUGUUGGGGUCUUCGGAAAGCUGGUGACAAAGCUCUGCUCGUGGUGUGAACUUGAUGCCCAAUGCGCAGCCGUGGCCCAUUGAGAUCCAGGAGCCAGGAAGAAUAAGGCCUUUUGGUCACGUGACUGAUCAGGACAGGUGCAGAUGUGAUUAUAGACCAUGAGCUUCAAAUGUGGCCUCUGACUUCACCAGGGACCUGCAGAACCACCCAUACAGGCUUUGGGCAGCUCCACACUUCUAUCCUGGCAGCCCACAUCCUAAAUUACAGACCACAUUGUGUUGGCUUGAACUGUUCCUUCAAGACUGAAGUGAGAUAUGUGUAGUAGCACUAGAGGUGGAGGGCCCUCUUAAGAUCCAGCAUUUCCAUCUAACCAACUGCAUGGGGCCUUAGAAGUGAUAAUUAUGGAGGGAGGAGAAGCUAGCUGUAGGUGCUUGUGACACAAAUAAACUUGUUAAUUCCUGAA
Long non-coding RNA from Peromyscus californicus insignis, 705 nucleotides. RefSeq lists it as uncharacterized. The transcript has 4 exons. The record is from RefSeq and is a predicted model, not a curated record. Lineage: Eukaryota; Metazoa; Chordata; Mammalia; Rodentia; Cricetidae.